Molecule: ribosomal RNA, 254 nt
Filed under: uncultured bacterium
Lineage: Bacteria
Description: partial 16S ribosomal RNA
Rfam family: Bacterial small subunit ribosomal RNA
Source: RNAcentral
UACGAGAGGCGCAAACGUUAUUCGGAAUUAUUGGGCGUAAAGAGCUCGUAGGCGGUGUGUCGCGUCGACCGUGAAAACCUGCAGCUUAACUGUGGGCGUGCGGUCGAUACGGGCAUCACUGGAGUUCGGUAGGGGAGACUGGAAUUCCUGGUGUAGCGGUGAAAUGCGCAGAUAUCAGGAGGAACACCGGUGGCGAAGGCGGGUCUCUGGGCCGAUACUGACGCUGAGGAGCGAAAGCGUGGGGAGCAAACAGG